This 282-nucleotide long non-coding RNA is filed under the name Oryza brachyantha (malo sina). Its description in RNAcentral is "long non-coding RNA (OBRA_LNC001502)". Lineage: Eukaryota; Viridiplantae; Streptophyta; Magnoliopsida; Poales; Poaceae. The record is from RNAcentral.
AUUAAUUGAGUGUCCAUAAAUAAGCUACAUGCUCCUCUAGGCAGAGCCAGCGCUAGGGAAGUGUAAACCCUGAUCAUCUCCUUCCUCCAUCUGCCUAAAAUCAACCAUCAGAAAGAGUAGAAUGCUGUCUCUGUGCUCCGAGACAAUGCGAGAUGUUUUUGAGAACAGGAGGCAUGUGGAAGGCGAGAUGAGCGAGUUUGAAGACUAGAACUCGAUAUGCUAAGCCGGCAACGCAGUUGUUCAUCCCAUGAGCGACUUAGCAUGUCACGAUCUAGUUCAGGG